AGUGAACGCUGGCGGUAGGCCUAACACAUGCAAGUCGAACGGCAGCACAGAGGAGCUUGCUCCUUGGGUGGCGAGUGGCGGACGGGUGAGGAAUACAUCGGAAUCUACUCUGUCGUGGGGGAUAACGUAGGGAAACUUACGCUAAUACCGUAUACGACCUACGGGUGAAAGCAGGGGACCUUCGGGCCUUGUGCGAUUGAAUGAGCCGAUGUCGGAUUAGCUAGUUGGCGGGGUAAAGGCCCACCAAGGCGACGAUCCGUAGCUGGUCUGGGAGCAUGAUGAGCCACACUGGGACAUAGACACGGUCCAGACUCCUACGGGAGGCAGCAGUGGGGAAUAUUGGACAAUGGGCGCAAGCCAGAUCCAGCCAUACCGCGUGGGUGAAGAAGGCCUUCGGGUUGUAAAGCCCUUUUGUUGGGAAAGAAAUCCAGCUGGCUAAUACCCGGUUGGGAUGACGGUACCCAAAGAGUAAGCACCGGCUAACUUCGUGCCAGCCGCCGCCGUAA
This 506-nucleotide ribosomal RNA is filed under the name uncultured bacterium. RNAcentral describes it as "partial 16S ribosomal RNA". It matches the Rfam family "Bacterial small subunit ribosomal RNA", at positions 29 to 523 of the family's 1533-position model. The record is from RNAcentral.